AACGAACGCUGGCGGCAUGCCUAACACAUGCAAGUCGAACGAGACCUUCGGGUCUAGUGGCGCACGGGUGCGUAACGCGUGGGAACCUGCCCUUAGGUUCGGAAUAACUCCCCGAAAGGGGUGCUAAUACCGGAUAAUGUCUUCGAACCAAAGAUUUAUCGCCUUUGGAUGGGCCCGCGUUGGAUUAGCUAGUUGGUAGGGUAAAAGCCUACCAAGGCGACGAUCCAUAGCUGGUCUGAGAGGAUGAUCAGCCACACUGGGACUGAGACACGGCCCAGACUCCUACGGGAGGCAGCAGUGGGGAAUAUUGGACAAUGGGCGAAAGCCUGAUCCAGCAAUGCCACGUGAGUGAUGAAGGCCUUAGGGUUGUAAAGCUCUUUUACCCGGGAUGAUAAUGACAGUACCGGGAGAAUAAGCUCCGGCUAACUCCGUG
This 433-nucleotide ribosomal RNA is filed under the name uncultured bacterium. Its description in RNAcentral is "partial 16S ribosomal RNA". It matches the Rfam family "Bacterial small subunit ribosomal RNA", at positions 29 to 507 of the family's 1533-position model. The record is from RNAcentral.